GGUGAACGCUGGCGGCGUGCCUAAUACAUGCAAGUCGAGCGAACAGACGAGGAGCUUGCUCCUCUGACGUUAGCGGCGGACGGGUGAGUAACACGUGGAUAACCUACCUAUAAGACUGGGAUAACUUCGGGAAACCGGAGCUAAUACCGGAUAACAUGUUGAACCGCAUGGUUCAACAGUGAAAGACGGUCUUGCUGUCACUUAUAGAUGGAUCCGCGCCGCAUUAGCUAGUUGGUAAGGUAACGGCUUACCAAGGCAACGAUGCGUAGCCGACCUGAGAGGGUGAUCGGCCACACUGGAACUGAGACACGGUCCAGACUCCUACGGGAGGCAGCAGUAGGGAAUCUUCCGCAAUGGGCGAAAGCCUGACGGAGCAACGCCGCGUGAGUGAAGAAGGUCUUCGGAUCGUAAAACUCUGUUAUUAGGGAAGAACAAAUGUGUAAGUAACUAUGCACGUCUUGACGGUACCUAAUCAGAAAGCCACGGCUAACUACGUG
RNAcentral lists this ribosomal RNA (497 nucleotides) under uncultured bacterium. RNAcentral describes it as "partial 16S ribosomal RNA". It matches the Rfam family "Bacterial small subunit ribosomal RNA", at positions 28 to 507 of the family's 1533-position model. The record is from RNAcentral.